This 584-nucleotide unclassified non-coding RNA is filed under the name Hevea brasiliensis (rubber tree). Lineage: Eukaryota; Viridiplantae; Streptophyta; Magnoliopsida; Malpighiales; Euphorbiaceae. The record is from RNAcentral.
UUCGAAAUUAAAUCAGACCGACCCACUUGCUAGGUUACCAAACUCAAACAAUGAUUAGAUUUCCAACCAAACAAUAUUAUGUCCAUAUAUAUAAUAUAUUCUAAUAAAUAUAAAUAAAUAAAAACCACAGAUUGAGACCUGGCCCCAUAAAGCCAUUUGAAGAAAAGGCCCACUUGCAAUUGAUGUGGACUCCACCAUCAAUCACCUUACCUAAUGUCCUCAUCUCAUCUCUCACCUUGUUAACUCCGUCAAAACGUUAGCCUCCGUCUGCCUAAACCUAGUUAACAUUGGAUUCCAAACGGCUACCAGACGCUAUACUUUAACCUGUCAACUAAGGCACGACACAUUAUUUGUGCACGUGUCCAAAACCCAUUGCGUGAAUUUCUCCGUUGCCGUGACGAAGUCGGUUAUCUCCUGUUCUAUAAAUAAAACGCCGCACGCCUUCCCUUUCCACCGUUGUUAUUCACUUAUUCUCUUCCCUUCUCUCGUGAAGCUCUCGGAAAUUAAUCAAAAAGCCCCUUCAAGGUAAAAUUUAAGUUACUUUUUGUGUGUUUCAAGCUGGGUUUCAUGUUUUGUUGGUUCUG